Mirounga angustirostris (Northern elephant seal) is the source of this 4711-nucleotide long non-coding RNA. RefSeq lists it as uncharacterized. The record is from RefSeq and is a predicted model, not a curated record. The transcript has 4 exons. NCBI's taxonomy places the organism in Eukaryota, Metazoa, Chordata, Mammalia, Carnivora, Phocidae.
CGACGAGCGCGGGCGGCGGCUCCGCGUCUCCGGCUCCCGCGUAGGGAUCUCGUCAUGGGUGAGAGUUCACGGGCAGGGCUUCGCGCGAGCGCUCUUCAGCGCCCCUGGCUCCGACUUCCUCGCGGCUCUUUCUCCUCGUGCAGCGGCGGCGAGCACCGCGAACGUGGCGUGCUCCGAGCGCGGGUGGGGCGGGGCCGGCCAUGAGGGGUUUCGGCCGCCGCCGGCCCUUGGGAGACUCGAGGGAGGACGUUCCUGCCUGCGGGGGCGCCAGCGGCGGGGGGGCGACGGAGCCCUCGUCCCGUCCCGUCCCGUUCCGUUCCGUUCCCCUGGUGGUUAUGUGCUGCCACGAACGUGCGCUGUCGGGCCUCUCGUGGAGCCUUUCUUGGAGUUUACGUUGUGGUGAGGGGCAGCCAUUGGUCGCAAGCAUGGGUUCGCUAGAGGAGACCUCACCCAGAAUGGGGCCGGGGGUGGUUCUCUGAGGAAAGAAGUGUCAGCGGCCCCUGGUGACAGUGAACUUCCGGAGACAGAGGCCCCAGGCUCGUUGAGAGCACAAGCAGGGGGAGUAGCGGAGGCAGAGGGAGAAGCAGACUCCCUGCUGAGCCUGGAGCCUGAAGACCCUGGAAUCAUGACCGGAGCUGAAAGCAGACACUUAACGGACUUAGCCACCCAAGUGCCCCUAAAGUUUUAUUUAAAACUAGCCCACAAGAAGGAGCAGCUGCUGAUCACGUCAGACCACCAUGUUCUGCUCGGGCAGGAACAUUCUUCUUAACAAGUACCAAGGGGGAAAAAAUGUGGUGGAGUGGAAGGGGGACUGGCCUGUCCCCCCAGGAUUGCUACAUGCAUGUAGUCAAAAGACAUGGAUUUGAAUGCUGACUUGAAUGCUUCUUGACAUUAUGACCUUAAACAAGUUACUUAGCCUGUUGGAACCUCAACUUUUCAUCAACAAAAUAGAGAUAUUAAUAGGUACCUGAUAGGGUUACACUGUGUGAUCUAAAUAACCCUAUAUAAGAUACCAAGAACAGUGCAUGGAACAAUAGACACUCAUGAGUUCCCCUCUCUAAACUAGCCCCCUUCCUCUUGCUGCCAUAUUCCUCAGCAGUAACCAGCAAAGUAUCUUAAAUUACUUCUCUAGACCUCUUAAGUUUCCUGAACCAUGCUACUAAGUCAUCCUUUUAUUUAUCUUUGCUCAGCCUCACCUUUCAUUCCCCUACUAACCAUUUCCACAGAGAGCACUGAGAACUUCUCUCACCUGUCCCUUUGCCCCCACCUCUGGACUUACCUGCAUCCACCUCAGUCAUUUCUCCUGGUCUUGGGCGCCUUUCUCCCACUGAACACCAAUCACCCCUGUACUGGAUUCCAUCAUUUCUUGCCACCUCAGCUGUCAACUGUUUGCUCUCUCAUCUGUAAUUUUGCUUGUUCUCUCUUGUUACAGGCUUCUCAUACCCAAGAUUCUUCUGCUUAUAAAAAGCCUCUUUGUAGCUUCUUAAUCUUUUCUGUAGUUAUUGCUCUAUUUUCUCUCACCCUGGCUUGGGAGAAAAAAAUAUAUACAUAUUAUUUCCACAUCACUCUUCGCUUGACCCACUGGUUUCUAUUCCUGUCACACUACUAAGACUACAAUAGUGAAGGACAUCAUUCAGUGGAUAUAAUUCAGUUUCUCCACACAUAUAUGACUUGACUACCAUACUUGAUACCACGAAUCUUCUCUUGACACCUUUCUUUUGAUUCUUGCAAUCUGGCCAUUCUUUCUUAGUUCCUAUCACUGAAUUCACUUCCUCUGUCCCUUAAAUGUUGGUGUUUUCCAGGAUUCUGUUCUCACACUUUCCUUCUUACUCUCUUUUCUCCUCUUGGGAUGAUCUCAUGUACCCUCAUUGUUUUUCAUUCUCAUCUAUAUACUGAUGCUCUCUUGUCCUCUCUCUGCCUGAGCUCUAGAACUCUAGAUUCAAUUGUGUGUUGGACGUCUCUACCUCAGUAGUCCACAGAUGCCACAACAUGUCCAUAAAUGAAUUAAUCAUGUCUUUCCUCUCCUUCCCCCUACUCUGGACACUCCCCUCCUGAUAAGCCUAUACUUUCUCCUCAAUUUCCUGAGUUGGUUGGUGGAACAGCUAUCCAUCCCAUUAACCAAAUAUGAAACCUGGAUCAAUCCUUUGUUGACACAACUUCCUCCUUUCUCCACAUCCAGCCAGUGACAUCUGAGCAGAGAGCUGAAUGACGAGGGGCCAGCCCUAUGAAGCUCUGGGGGGGAAUAUCUAAGGCAGAGAUGAGACUCUGCCUUUACUGUCAUAGUAAUGUGCUCUGACCAAACUGGCCCAGGUUUGCCUGACUCCUGUAUGCAGUGAUGUUAAGAGAAUUAUUUAUACAGGAAAGCUCUUAAACAGAUCAAAUAAGGAAAUGCAUUUACAUCAUCUUAGGGUAGAACACAAGACUGUUUUCACUGACAAUAUUUUCAAACAAAAAGCUGCGAGGUUGUCACUAAAAAAUGGAUCUUAGAUUCAUUGCAGCUCCUCAAAUUCCUUUUUUGUUCUUUGGGAGAGGGAGCAGGGGAGAUGGGCAGGUGGGCUGGGCAGGCACAGACCUCCCCUAACUUAGCUAUAUCUCUCCUGCCUAUUGGCUUUGUUUUGAAGACACUUGGAUUUGGGAUUAACAACACAAUCAUUCCUUCUUAAAAAUUUAUAUAAUUUUAUAUUCCAUAUGUUUUGUUAUUAAAUAUGCCCUUUAAUAGAAAAUAUUCAGUUUUGGGUUUUAUAUCCUGAUUUUUUAAAUUAGAAAACUUAUAAUCUUAUAUAAUCUAUAUAACUAAAAAGAUUGCCUUAUUUUUAUGAUCUGUAUUUUGCACAGAUAUGGAACUAGGUUAUACGAAAACACAAUUGAUUACUGGAAGCAAAAGCUUUCUGUUUAUCAUAAGCAAAUAGCUCUUUCCAUCAGAAAGGAUAAACGUGAUCUUCUCCCUGGGCUCCCUCCCUAGCUGCUUGCUGGCACUUGAUACGAUGUUGAGUACUGUGGUUAUAUGUGAACGUUGGGUUGCCAGCACCAUGGCAGCAGAGCCUCUGUUACAGAGCGAUCUUUGUAUCGCCCACGGCGCUAGCCUAGUGGUGUCCUGCACAUAGGAGGCCUCCAGUAAGUACUGGCUGAAUGACUCAAGGUUGUCUCUUUGCAGAGGUGAGUACCUGAGUUCAGUGACACGAGCUGCAUUUCAGCUACUGGGGCUGCAGUAGCCAGGCGGGGCCUGUGGGCUCCUAUGGCUUCUGAAUUCUCUUGGUCACCCACCCUUUACACGGUCGUCCUGUCACAGCCCCCCUCGCUUCUCCCCCACUGCCUUGGAUACUGAUUGCCUCUCGGCUUCCCCUCACUCUGUCUCUCUCUCAACAAUGAUUUAGGGCUAUUUUUAUAGUCUGCUAAUUCUCUGAGAAUGAGGUGCCUCUUCUGGGAGCCACUGCCAUCCUCAAUGGCACUGCAAAUAGGUUUUUGUUGACUGAUCUCCAGGCUCUCCAAGUCAUUUUGCCCUCACCCUGAUUACAAGGCACCAUCUGUUUGCCUCGAUGGCUUAAUGAAUCAAGGGCUCAUAAAUGUAUCCGAUAUCUAAAAUGAUCCAAAUCACAGUGAGGACAGGAUAAUGGUGUCCUUCACCAGAAAUGGAUGGACAGUUACUUUUAUAGCUUUGCAGAAAAACGGAUAUGCAGACACUUCACCCAAAUUGGUGGCCCUGAGUUACUCUCCCUGUGCUGAUGCUUCUGCUCAGGGACAGGAACCUGCCUGCCCUGUUUCAGGAGACACAAGAAGAGAAAGAUUAUCUGUCUGACCCAUGUUCACUCAGUGAAUCAGCAGUCAAGUACUAGCCAUAGUCCUUCUGCCACUUUGGUUUAUAAGGGUCAGAAGAAUUUUUCAAGCAUGAAAAAUAUUAGAAUAACCAUUAAAAACGUGAGCUAGUAACCUUGGCCUGUUGCCUAGUGUAAUACGGCUGUUCAGAGGGAAAUCCCGUGCAGUGAGACAGCUGAUUGUGGUUGUGUGUACUACAGGGUGAUUUCUGUAGAAAUUGGGUGGGUUGUUAAGUAGUUUUAAAAGAUUUAUUACCACUUCUGGCUAAUUUGUUCUUACAGUUAGCUGAGAUCUGGAAUCCUUGUGAUCCAUGGGGUACAGUGAGUGAGUUGUCUCCGACUCCCUAUUACCUGCAAGUAUCUCACACCAGAAGCAAGCAGAGCUACAUGCAGCUGCCCAAACAGCCUGCUCUAUCCCGACACAUGCUCUGUGCCUACCGUUCUCUAGGCACACUGCUAUGCUCUCGACACAUUCAUGUCUCUGAUCAUGAAAGCGGCUCUAUCACGUAAAUAUUGCUAUACCCAUUUUACACAUGAGGAACCUGAGGAUCAGCAUAAUUAACUUGCUAGAGUUUCCACAGAGGCAGAGGCAGGAUUUAAACCCAUUCCUGUUUAGCUCAUGCUCUUUCUAGAAUGCUCCAUUGCCUUGCAAUGCUCUUUUCUCCUGCUUGUUCUUAUUCUGAGUCUAACCUUCUGUUUCCCUGUCAGAAUCCUUAUCAAUCACAAGUGUUUUUUGAAAUAUAAAAAUACAUGUAUGUGGGCGCCUGGGUGGCUCAGUCAGUUGAGCAUCUGCCUUCGGCUUGGGUCAUGAUCUCAGGGUCCUGGGAUGGAGCCCCAUGUCAGGCUCUCUGCUCAGCGGGGAGUCUGCUCCUCCCUCUCACUCUCCCUCUGUGCUCUCU